Molecule: ribosomal RNA, 267 nt
Filed under: uncultured bacterium
Lineage: Bacteria
Description: partial 16S ribosomal RNA
Rfam family: Bacterial small subunit ribosomal RNA
Source: RNAcentral
UAGGGAAUCUUCCACAAUGGACGCAAGUCUGAUGGAGCAACGCCGCGUGAGUGAAGAAGGUCUUCGGAUCGUAAAGCUCUGUUGUUGGUGAAGAAGGAUAGAGGCAGUAACUGGUCUUUAUUUGACGGUAAUCAACCAGAAAGUCACGGCUAACUACGUGCCAGCAGCCGCGGUAAUACGUAGGUGGCAAGCGUUGUCCGGAUUUAUUGGGCGUAAAGCGAGCGCAGGCGGAAUGAUAAGUCUGAUGUGAAAGCCCACGGCUCAACC